GUCAGGAUGGCCGCCGGUCCAAGGCGCUGCGUUCAGGUGCCAGUCUCCCCUGGAGGCGUGGGUUCAAAUCCCAUUUCUGACA
RNAcentral lists this transfer RNA (82 nucleotides) under Ameiurus melas (black bullhead). It matches the Rfam family "tRNA". From Rfam's summary of the family: Transfer RNA (tRNA) molecules are approximately 80 nucleotides in length. Their secondary structure includes four short double-helical elements and three loops (D, anti-codon, and T loops). Lineage: Eukaryota; Metazoa; Chordata; Actinopteri; Siluriformes; Ictaluridae. The record is from Rfam by way of RNAcentral.